CGUGGAUGAGUCACGCAGCCUUUUCCUCACCACACAGAGGGCGUCUAGAUCUCUUCUGGCUUGUUUGAUGAAAUACGGACGUAUCUACCUCAAAACAAUGGUUGAGGCUCAGAACAGAACCUGACACAGAAUACGCCCUCAGGUAUCGGUGUUGGCUGCUUGUGACUGACUUUGGCAAGUAAGAUCAGUACCCGGCACCUCUGGGCACACAGGGCCCGGGCUGCAUCCACUGUGCCAGGGACCUGGUGCCGGGCUGGGCAGCAAGUCAGUAUCACAUCAGCAGGCGUGGGCCGUGGUGAGCCUCUCCCUGCCCUCCCGCUGGAAUAGAAAGCUGAUCCCGACGUCCCACUCCGACCCACGGUCAGGAAGCCGUCCUGUCCAGGAAGGUGGCUGAGGUACAUCCCUGAACACAGUAGGCCACAGCAUCAUGCAGCGGAGGGCCAGUGGCCGCUAUUCUUCCUGCUGGUGUUCCACUCGGCCCGCAGCUCACAGCAAGUCUAUGCGGAACUGUGCAACCCACAUGCUUUGAUUUUCA
Homo sapiens (human) is the source of this 535-nucleotide long non-coding RNA. The record is from Ensembl. NCBI's taxonomy places the organism in Eukaryota, Metazoa, Chordata, Mammalia, Primates, Hominidae.